AGCUACAGAGAUAGAGACGAACAGAACAAACAAACAAACAAAACGCGCUCAUCCACAACAUAGAUAAGUAUAAUGCGUCUUACUUAUACUACAAAUGAACACUGACAAGUGUGAAAUGUAUGUACUAGACAGAAGUUAAUUUGUGUGUCGACCCACAUUGUUAACUUAUAACGGAGCAUGGAGGAGUGAUGAAUGUGUGCGUGCGUUAAAGAACCAAAUGCUGCCCGCGGCCAGUGACGGACUUCUACGUCACACAGUUCAAAGAAUGACAGCACUAUCUAAAAAUGAAGAAUGCAAAAUGCAAUUUCAAAAGGAGUACCCCCCCCGAGAUCAUGGUGUUUGACAAGGAUUGAUACCUAUAACCUCUAUUAUUUCUAGUUUAUAUUAAUGAUCUGCAUCAAAACUACCUUUUCAAAAAAAAUGUGUUGAUGAUACAAGUGUGUUCUUCCCCACAGCAAUGUCAACUAUCUCACUGAAUAAACUGCUGAACACAACCAAGCACUGUUAAAACUGAGUACAAGGAAAGUGGACAAAUGUGUAUAGACUUUAAACACUGAGCAAACCCUCUGUGUCUACCUCCUGCUCCAUGUGUAUAUGUCGGGAAACCUUCUAUAUCCCCUCUGCCCCUCUCCAAGCGUCUGCACAGCUCUCUCCAUGGGAAUGAUGUCAUGGUUGGGAAUUCCAACAGGGGGCCCUGUCUGUGCUCAUAAAAACCCCUCGUCUCCCCAGCUCACUGCACAUGGCCUGACUGAAUUACAGCUCCCAGUCCAUCACCCUCUCCUGGCCUUGGCAAGAAUAGCGGGUCUGGGACAUCACCACUUUAUGGCAUAUUUUGUCUGAAAGGCAACAUUAAUCAGUGUAACCAUGAAGUCAGACAACAGUGCAAAGUAGCAGAGCCGGUACACCUACGUACUGUACGAUCCAUGGAUCUGGCAGCCUCUGCUCUCACCUGUAGAGACACUCUGGAGACACGGUCUGCAUUCCUCACUGCCAAACACCGACUGAGCCAGCAUGUCAACAACUCCGCUUAAACCCCACUACUGCAGCCAAACACCGACUGAGCCAGCAUGUCAACAACACCCCUUAAACCCAACUACUGCAGCCACACACCGACUGAGACAGCAUGUCAACAACACCCCUUAAACCCCACUACUGCAGCCACACACCGACUGAGCCAGCAUGUCAACAACACCACUUAAACCCCACUACUGCAGCCACACACCGACUGAGCCAACAUAUGUCAACAACACCCCUUAAACCCCACUACAGCAGCCACACACCGACUGAGCCAGCAUAUGUCAACAACACCCCUUAAACCCAACUACUGCAGCCACACACCGACUGAGCCAGCAUGUCAAUAACACCCCUUAAACCCAACUACUGCAGCCACACACCGACUGAGCCAACAUAUGUCAACAACACCCCUUAAACCCCAUUAACGCAGCAACACACCGACUGAGCCAACAACACCCCUUAAACCCAACUACUGCAGCCAGGUAGCUACUGCUUCAACCAGACAUCAAACUCACACUGCCAGAAAAAAAAACAGAUACCUUAAAUGAGCCCACC
Long non-coding RNA from Oncorhynchus tshawytscha (Chinook salmon), 1569 nucleotides. RefSeq lists it as uncharacterized. The transcript has 2 exons. Lineage: Eukaryota; Metazoa; Chordata; Actinopteri; Salmoniformes; Salmonidae. The record is from RefSeq and is a predicted model, not a curated record.